Molecule: ribosomal RNA, 497 nt
Filed under: uncultured bacterium
Lineage: Bacteria
Description: partial 16S ribosomal RNA
Rfam family: Bacterial small subunit ribosomal RNA
Source: RNAcentral
GAUGAACGCUGGCGGCGUGCCUAAUACAUGCAAGUCGAGCGAACAGACGAGGAGCUUGCUUCUUUGAUGUUAGCGGCGGACGGGUGAGUAACACGUGGAUAACCUACCUAUAAGACUGGGAUAACUUCGGGAAACCGGAGCUAAUACCGGAUGAUAUUUUGAACCGCAUGGUUCAAUAGUGAAAGACGGCCUUGCUGUCACUUAUAGAUGGAUCUGCGCUGCAUUAGCUAGUUGGUAAGGUAACGGCUUACCAAGGCAACGAUGCCUAGCCGACCUGAGAGGGUGGUCGGCCAACAGGGAAAGGGGACAACGGCCCGGGUCCUAAGGGAGGGCACAGUAGGGAAAGUUACGGAAAGGGGGGAAGGCUUGAGGAAGCAACGCGAGUUAGUGGUGGAGGUCCUUCGAGCGGAAAAAUGUUUUUAUAGGGGAAAACCUAUGUGUAAGUAAACGUGGACAGCUUGACGGUAACUAAUCAGAAAGCCCCGGCUAACUACGUG